GCGUUUCUGCGAAGCAGGUGAGUCUCCUAUUUUUGAUCCAACAGUCAAAAAAUAGGGAGUCCGACUCGACAAGAAGCGCUGGUGAGCAAGCUCCGGCGAGGACAGUCUCGAACGGAGAAGCCUAAAGGCGCUCGGCGGACACCCGCCCCGUUCUAACAAAAAGGGGUCAAUAACGGUGAUCGCACGGCCGAGUGGUACGCU
This 201-nucleotide non-coding RNA is filed under the name Acidobacteriota bacterium. RNAcentral's name for it is "Acidobacteria bacterium 6S RNA". It matches the Rfam family "6S / SsrS RNA". Rfam says of the family: E. coli 6S RNA was the first non coding RNA to be sequenced, but its function was unknown until recently. It consists of 184 nucleotides that fold into an extended hairpin structure with a large single-stranded internal bulge. The record is from RNAcentral. Lineage: Bacteria; Pseudomonadati; Acidobacteriota.